ACCNGAGGGGAGGGUUCCCCCUUUUAGGGAGGCCGCCGGGGGGCCAAUUUACCCAACCNGGCCCCGGGGGGGUGGGGCCAGGAAAUACCAAUCCGGGGCAAUUUUUUGGAAAUGGAAAGAAGGGGGCCCAAAACUUUCCCCGGGGUGCCAAUGGGGGGCCAAUUUGGGGCCCGCCGGCGCGGGAAUUCCCAGUUCCAAAGGGGAUAUUAAAACUGUUGCCAGUAAAAAAGCUCGUAGUGAAAUUUAUGCGUUGCCCGUUUGGCAUUCGUUCGGUUUUUGGGAUUUCGUUUGGGGGUUUUCCCUUUUUACUUUGAGAAAAUUAGAGUGUUUCAAGCAGACUUGUGUCUUGAAUACUUCAGCAUGGAAUAAUAAAGUAGGACUUUGGUUCUAUUUUGUUGG
RNAcentral lists this ribosomal RNA (399 nucleotides) under Babesia canis. RNAcentral describes it as "partial 18S ribosomal RNA". It matches the Rfam family "Eukaryotic small subunit ribosomal RNA", at positions 394 to 847 of the family's 1831-position model. Lineage: Eukaryota; Apicomplexa; Aconoidasida; Piroplasmida; Babesiidae. The record is from RNAcentral.